RNAcentral lists this ribosomal RNA (253 nucleotides) under uncultured bacterium. Its description in RNAcentral is "partial 16S ribosomal RNA". It matches the Rfam family "Bacterial small subunit ribosomal RNA", at positions 524 to 776 of the family's 1533-position model. The record is from RNAcentral.
UACGUAGGGUGCGAGCGUUAAUCGGAAUUACUGGGCGUAAAGCGUGCGCAGGCGGUUUCGUAGGCCAGAUGUGAAAUCCCCGGGCUUAACCUGGGAAUGGCAUUUGGGACUGCAAGGCUGGAGUGCGGCAGAGGAGACUGGAAUUCCUGGUGUAGCAGUGAAAUGCGUAGAUAUCAGGAGGAAUACCGAUGGCGAAGGCAGGUCUCUGGGCUGACACUGACGCUCAUGCACGAAAGCGUGGGGAGCAAACAGG